CCUACGGGAGGCAGCAGUGGGGAAUAUUGCACAAUGGGGGAAACCCUGAUGCAGCGACGCCGCGUGAGUGAAGAAGUAAUUCGUUAUGUAAAGCUCUAUCAGCAGGGAAGAAAAUGACGGUACCUGAGUAAGAAGCCCCGGCUAACUACGUGCCAGCAACCGCGGUAAUACGUAGGGGGCAAGCGUUAUCCGGAUUUACUGUGUGGAAAGGGAGAGUAGACGGGAGUGCAAGUCUGGAGUGAAAGGCGGGGGCUCAACCCCCGGACUGCUCUGGAAACUGUACGGCUGGAGUGCAGGAGAGGUAAGUGGAAUUCCUAGUGUAGCGGUGAAAUGCGUAGAUAUUAGGAGGAACACCAGUGGCGAAGGCGGCUUACUGGACUGUAACUGACGUUGAGGCUCGAAAGCGUGGGGAGCAAACAGGAUUAGAUACCCGAGUAGUC
This 440-nucleotide ribosomal RNA is filed under the name uncultured bacterium. RNAcentral's name for it is "partial 16S ribosomal RNA". It matches the Rfam family "Bacterial small subunit ribosomal RNA", at positions 338 to 795 of the family's 1533-position model. The record is from RNAcentral.